UCUUAAUCAUUUUAGUUUUAUUUGACUUGAUUUUGAUCUACGUCUUCUUAACACAAAGCAAAGCCAUAAAACUAUGAAACCAUGAGAGUAUAACUGCAUAUCAAAUAUUGCAUACAAUAAAGUAAAGUAAAAAUAUGAACUUUUUUUCUUUACAACGAAAAAUGUGAACUUUUGGUCUUUCUUAAUCUACUUUGUAUUUCUGAUUCAGAAAAUGUAUUAAAUUACCAAAAAAACAUUGAAACACACAUAUCCAAG
This 255-nucleotide long non-coding RNA is filed under the name Brassica rapa (field mustard). RNAcentral's name for it is "long non-coding RNA (BRAP_LNC004894)". The record is from RNAcentral. Lineage: Eukaryota; Viridiplantae; Streptophyta; Magnoliopsida; Brassicales; Brassicaceae.